RNAcentral lists this small nuclear RNA (107 nucleotides) under Prolemur simus (greater bamboo lemur). Lineage: Eukaryota; Metazoa; Chordata; Mammalia; Primates; Lemuridae. The record is from RNAcentral.
GUGCUCACUUCAGCAGCAUAUAUACUAAAAUUGGAAUGACACAGAGAAAACUAACAUGGCCCCUGCACAAGGAUAACAUGCAAACUAAUGAAGCAUUCCAUAUUAAA